UAAUAUGUAUUUGAGGGGGUUUAACCCUUGGU
This 32-nucleotide non-coding RNA is filed under the name Mus musculus (house mouse). The record is from RNAcentral. Lineage: Eukaryota; Metazoa; Chordata; Mammalia; Rodentia; Muridae.